Stomoxys calcitrans (stable fly) is the source of this 429-nucleotide long non-coding RNA. RefSeq lists it as uncharacterized. The record is from RefSeq and is a predicted model, not a curated record. The transcript has 2 exons. Lineage: Eukaryota; Metazoa; Arthropoda; Insecta; Diptera; Muscidae.
UAAAAACAAAUCUAAUACCCAAUAACCACACUACCGAUAGCUGAAUUAUUUUAUGUAUCUACUUCAUUUGACCAUUUACUUGAAUCGAUUUCCUAUAUAAGUCCAACAUUUUCUCUGAAUCUUCAGACAAAUAUUCGCAGUCUUUGGUAAAACAAUAGCCGAGUUAUAAUGAAUUUCUUGAACAUUUUUGUAUUCGUUGCUGUUAUCCUGGCUGCAUUUACUGCCCAAACUGAAGGCAAGCGUAAAGGUGGCGGCGGUGGUGGUAACCGCGGACAUGCUUGGAGGGCAGGAUCCCAUGUAGCUGGAGCUGCUGUUCAAGGAGUUGCUGCUGAGGCAGUCCGUCAAGCGGGUUAAAUCUCUAUUUGUAGAGAAUAAUGUGACACAAUGCUUACAUUGGAGAGCUUCAAAUAAAUCUUUGUAAAAAAAUAA